Molecule: ribosomal RNA, 253 nt
Filed under: uncultured bacterium
Lineage: Bacteria
Description: partial 16S ribosomal RNA
Rfam family: Bacterial small subunit ribosomal RNA
Source: RNAcentral
GACAGAGGAUGCAAGCGUUAUCCGGAAUGAUUGGGCGUAAAGCGUCCGCAGGUGGCAGUUCAAGUCUGCUGUCAAAGACCGGGGCUUAACUUCGGAGAGGCAGUGGAAACUGAACAGCUAGAGUAUGGUAGGGGCAGAGGGAAUUCCCGGUGUAGCGGUGAAAUGCGUAGAGAUCGGGAAGAACAUCGGUGGCGAAGGCGGCAUCCUGGACCGGUAUUGACACUGAGGCGCGAAAGCCAGGGGAGCAAACGGG